RNAcentral lists this non-coding RNA (26 nucleotides) under Mus musculus (house mouse). Lineage: Eukaryota; Metazoa; Chordata; Mammalia; Rodentia; Muridae. The record is from RNAcentral.
UGAUGACUUACAGUCUGCAGUCCAAU